UCCUCCAGACGCACCCCAAUCAGCCCAUCUUGGAUUGUCUCUGGGAGAAUUGUGGAGCGCAAGAAACCCGGCAGGUUUCCGACUCACUGACGGGCUGAGACCCUGAUCCUGUAACCUCUGUCUUUGACCUAUAAAAUGGGUGCAAGACCUGCCUCUUGGAGCUGGUGCAGGAUUCAAAGGAGAUCACGAAUGGGAGAUACAUCUGAGCUCUCCUCAUGCUGCCCUUAAUCGAGGUAGGGAAGAGAAGAGGCGGAAGAAACUUGAGAGGAAGAUCAGUCCGACAAGCAGUUGUAUGACUGAGCUGAGAAUCAUGGGAUACGACAUUUUUGAAGACUCAGAACGCUGCGUCACCCAGACAGACGUGGACUUGCAGGUGCGAGUGGGUGACUGCAUCACCCAGGGGAAGCAGUGAAAGGUUUCACCAGCCGUGCAUUACCGGGAAAGGUAGGCUGGUUACGAAGCUAUGAAGUUGGAGGUGGCUCACAGUGUCGGGAGAGCUCUGGGAAGGCCUCCCAGCAUGUUGGUGGAAGAUUUGUAGGACAGUAUGGGCAAGAUCCUUCAAAAUGGUGAAGAUGCCACAGGUCUGAUCACGUUCCUCCUCUGCUCAAACACCUCCAAGGAUUCCCUGUCGCCUAAGAUAAGACGCAGAGCCCUCUGCCUGGCCUGGAAUAAAACCUCCACUGUUUUGGCUCCA
Long non-coding RNA from Phascolarctos cinereus (koala), 694 nucleotides. RefSeq lists it as uncharacterized. Lineage: Eukaryota; Metazoa; Chordata; Mammalia; Diprotodontia; Phascolarctidae. The record is from RefSeq and is a predicted model, not a curated record.